CAACCCUCAAGCUCUGCUUGGUGUUGGGGAUCGGCAGCCCGGCGCCCUCUGCGGCGCCUCGCCGUCCCCCAAAUCCAGUGGCGGUCACGCUGCAGCCUCCUAUGCGUAGUAGCACACCUCGCGGCGGAGAGCGGCGCGGCCACGCCGUAAAACCCCCUACUAUCAUUGU
RNAcentral lists this unclassified non-coding RNA (169 nucleotides) under uncultured Nectriaceae. RNAcentral's name for it is "sequence contains ITS2". The record is from RNAcentral. Lineage: Eukaryota; Fungi; Ascomycota; Sordariomycetes; Hypocreales; Nectriaceae.